GUCAAAUAUAAUUUGUUCAAGGGAUAAUUUGGGGGAUAUUAAAUGGUACAAGUAAUUAUAAUUAUUGCAUAAAACCCGGAAAGGUUCAUGCUGGGAGUAGUUUGAUCUACAUGUGGAUAAUCUGAUGGGGCGGAAAGUACGGGUUGGUCUGGAGGGAACCGAAAAAUCGAUUCGUCCCAAAAGCGUUUGGGAGUCCACAAUCCCGAGAAUGAGCUUAUGCAUGAAUAUUACCCCAUUGCAAAUUCUGCGAUGGUGUAAAGAGGGUAGGUUCAGUAUUUUUAGCCUAGAUAGGUAUGGUGGAAGGAGUCUGUUAGAGUCCCAGUUUUGAUUUCUAAGGGGAAUAUUAAAAAUUGUUUUUGAACGGAUUCAAUAAUUGUGGACUCCACACACAAGAACAAUACUCCAAUAUCGGGCGAACCAACGAGACGUACAGUGUUUUAGUUAUAUGCGGAUCGUCAAACUCUUUUGACCAACGCUUAAUAAACGCAAGAACUCCCUUAGCUUUGUUAACAGUUGAAGCAAUAAGUCAUUUGAUGUGGAGAUUCGAUCCAGAACAUGGUGUCCUAGAGAAUAGGAGACAAAAUGUGGUGCACGGCGGUAAAAAGUCAUAAGUUUUCACUUGGAAUGGUUCAAGAAAAGUAGGUUAUUCGAACACCAAAUGCUUAAUUCAUUAAGGACAAGUUGUAGGCGAGUAUGCAAGUACCAGUCGGAAAAGGAAAAACAAAUUUGAACGUCAUCAGCAUACAGUAAAGAAACUGAGUGCAAAAUAACUUGGGCAGGUCGUUCACAAACAAAUUGAAAAGAAGCGGACCUAAAUGGCUUCCUUUGGGAACUCCAGAGGUUACUUUCACAACAUUCGACAAAGCAUUGGCAAAAAGGCACGUUUUGUGCGAUUCGACAGGUACGAUGAUAACCAAUUUACAAGAUUUGUGGGAAAACCUAAUAAAGAGAGUUUAUGGAUCAGCAAGGUAUGAUUAACAGAAUCAAAAGCUUUACUGAAAUCUGUAAAAAUGACGUCGGUCUGCAAGCCACUUUGAAAUCCUCGGUUGAUUAGAGACGAGACUUCUAAAAGGAUAGUAGAUGUUGAUCGAUGUCUAAAAAAACCAUGUUGUGACGGGCAUAUAAUGCUAGAACAUGCGUGUUGCAAUUGACGAGUAACAAGGUGCUCGAGCAACUUCGGAAUGGCAGAUAGUUUAGCCAUACGACGAUAGUUUUCGAUAUUAGAUCUGGACCCUUUCUUGUGAAGAGGAAUAAGGCAGAAUUCAUUACAGAUCAUGGGGAGGCGAGAACGCUCCAGGGAUAAAUUUAAUAAGAAGGUCAAAGGAUGAGAUAGGGCUUGAGCGCAAUAUUUUAAAAUACAGCUCGGAACUUUAUCUAGACCCGCAGAGAAACAGAUGUCAAUUGAUGACAACCCUUCGAAGACCGUACUUUCUUCAAGGAAGGGAAGAAACAUAUUAUUAACAUGAUGGUAUGGAUAAGGGGUGGAGGAGUCAUAAGCAUCAGAGGAGUACGUCGAUUGUAAGAAGGUGGCAAAUAUAUUUGCAAUUCCUUGAUCUGAAGUUUCUGUUUUAGACUGCAACUGAAGGGAAGAAGGGAACGCGUUAAAAAUUCGUUUUGAGUUGACGAACGAAAAUAAUUUUUUGGGAUUACUACGGAAAUUUGUGCCUCAUUGGGAAAGAUAUACGUUAUAACAUUUCUUAUUGACCGUAAGAAAUUGAGAGCGAACGGAAGAAUAUUGUGCAAAGACAGACAAAGAACCAGUUAUCUGGUACUUUUUGUAGAGCCGAGAUUUUUUAUUUUUUAGGCAAGACAGAUACUUGGAAAACCACGGAGGCUUAGAGGAAUACGGUGACUUCAGGGACGUGGGUAUCGAGGGCAGAGUAUAAUGUUUCGUUAAACAUAUUGACAGUAGGCUCUAUAUGUGAUGAGGACUGAAGAAAGGACCAAUCAACUUGCGAGAGAUGUAGACAAAGAUCGAUAAAAUUAGUUUUGUGAAAACACUUUAUACGACUUUUCAUACCCGGUACUCGAAGAGUAAAUAGGGUAUAUUGUCUUUGUAUGAAUAACGGUUGUAUGUAACGCACAGAAGGAAGCGUUUCCGAC
Molecule: long non-coding RNA, 2103 nt
Filed under: Drosophila guanche
Lineage: Eukaryota; Metazoa; Arthropoda; Insecta; Diptera; Drosophilidae
Source: RNAcentral